GAAAGCCGUGUACGGGGAAACCGUAUGCACGGUUUGAUGAGGGAGGGCUGGCUACCGUGACCAUGGUGCGGCUAGUGAGGCACCGCCAAACGAAAGGGGCGGCAACAGAUAGGCCGGACCUACAGUCGCGGGACGCCUGCUCUCUACUCUAC
RNAcentral lists this non-coding RNA (152 nucleotides) under Thiocapsa roseopersicina. Lineage: Bacteria; Pseudomonadati; Pseudomonadota; Gammaproteobacteria; Chromatiales; Chromatiaceae. The record is from RNAcentral.